AAAAGAACCUGGCUGAGCUGGUUGCUGGCCUUAUAACUGGUGAAAGUUCAGUGGCUGAGAUGACAGAAGCAGCUCAUUGUGUCGUUUUGAGCCAGGAGUUGGAAGCACAUGUGGAUGUUGUCGAAAGUGAGUGUGAUCAUGUCCUCAGUGAGAAGAUCACGUCCAAAGCGGAAGGAGAGGACGUGAAUGACGUUGAGCAGGAGAACACUGUAGAGGAGCUUGAUAAAAUGCAGUGUUCAAUGGAGAACUUGAAGAGCAGUGGCUCGUCAUCUUUCACUGAGAUCACACUGACAGAGGUCAAAGAGGAGGAUGUUAUGUUCAGAUCAACCACUCCACAGUCUGACUCUUCUGACAUGGAGAAGGAAGACUUUGAGAUCAUUCAAUCCAGUCAGGCGACAAACAGACAGUUUGACUUCUUCCAUCCAAACCCCUUCACUGAUGGUGAUGUAUUUGGAGAUGACCAUUUUCCAAAGGUUGAUGUGACAGAGCAAUUACCCAGGGACCCGUUUAAAGGCACAGACCCUUUUGCCUCUGACGCUCUCUUGGUUAACAUGUCAGAAGAAAAGCAUUGUCAGGAUGACUUCAUCCCUGCAGAGAACAGUCUUCCAGAAACUGUACACUACCCUCUCCAAUCCGUCGUUAAAGACUACGGUACCUUUAACGCUCCCAUCAACAGGCCACAGUCCACCGGAAAGCGUGAUAGUGGUGUGUCCAUGUCCACUGAAAGCAGGAGUCUCAAAUCUGGCAGCGAUGUAGAUUCUGAGUGUGGGACAAACGCCACACCAGGCCAAAAUGGUGAUGCUGUGAAACCAGAUCUAUCAAACGAAGCUUUGAGUCCUCAGUUCGAUGAAGAGUGGGUCCAUGAAUCAGAUUCUAGUCACAGUUCUACAGUGUUUAAUUCCAUUGAUGCCGAUUCCAAUGUAUUCGCUGAAGAGGAGGAGGAGAGGGUUGACGUUCAGACUGGAUCCGGUUUAAUUAAAAGAGCUAACUCACUGUGUGGUCUACAGAGCAUCAUUGCAGGGUCUUAUACUGGGUUUCCUCUAAGUCCAUGUGACCCUGAUCCACUCCCAGGCGACUUCCAGAAGACCUUUGAACAUCAUAUUACCACUUCUAAACAAAAUGCUGCGAAUGCCGAAGAACUCGGAAAUACUGAGAGUUUAUCUCCAGAUAACAGUCUAGGGCCUCUGUGUGAACAGCUGCAUGAUAUAAAUAGUAAUCCCUCUAGCUCUCCUUCCAUUUUUCCUUCUCAACCUUCUGCUUUAGACGAAUGCGACUACAAAUAUGGAGAUAUGUUCUUCUUCACUGUGAGAUUAGAUCCUGGUAGCCCUGAACUACAUAAUCAAAGUCCGGCUUGUCCUGAGCCCAAAGAUGAGUCCCACGGCCAAAUGCAUUGGAAGGACGCCUCUUUGAGCCCUGAAUUCAAUGAUAAAGAUGAAUUUGAAUGUUCCAGUCCAAAGCCUGAAGACAUAGAACAACACAACCAGAUCACCAAUGACCAGAACACAGUGGAGCUGGAGAUCGUGACAAGCAGUGACCCUCCUAAACAUGAUGAGAUAUUAGUGCCUGAUUGUGAAAAGGAGGUUUUAGAUAUUCCAAGUCUUACAUUUGAGGAUUCAAAUGCUUGCCAAAGUGUGCUUGAUUCAGAGUGGAAUGACCAAUGGACGGCAAAUCCAGAUGUAGUUGAACCUGUUCCUGAUUCAUCCAUCCUGGACACAGAAAGUAAUCCAUCUAAUUCUACAUCUCAAGACCUCUUUUGUCUGUUCAGUAACACAGAAACAUCAGCUACUGACCGGUUUUAUGCCCAUGAGCAACUCAGCCCUGAAUCCAGUAGCUCACAACACAAACCUUCAUCCUCUGAAGGCUUGUUCAUGAGUAAACUUGAACUCCAGUAUUUUGAC
Molecule: long non-coding RNA, 1898 nt
Filed under: Sinocyclocheilus grahami
Lineage: Eukaryota; Metazoa; Chordata; Actinopteri; Cypriniformes; Cyprinidae
Description: lncRNA (ENSSGRG00000048734.1)
Source: RNAcentral